CCAGUGUCACAGAAUGAUGCUUAUAUUCCGAGCCAUCUAAUUCUAUAAAUAGAGGAUUCCUCGAAGCGUAGGAAACGUUAUAUUAUUUAUUGUUGCUGCACUAUAACAAUUGCGUAAUAUCAACUCAUCAACCUCCUCUGAAAAAGCACCUUCAAAUUUCUUGGAAAUUUUCAGCUAUACUGGGGCCUUGGAUAGUGAGCCGAAGCGAUCUUUCAAGUGAACAUCUUCCACAAAGAUGAUAGCAAUCUCCAUUGUCUCAUUGCUGAAAGCUUAUAAACGGGGGCAGAGUUCUUCCAGCCCGGGAAAUCCGAACGCCAACAACUUUAGGCCUCUUAAUUUCGACCAGAUCAGCCGCUAGGUCAGUUUUUUUCGCCGAUCAUCGAUUCAACUUUACUGAGAAGACGGCUUUACGCUCUCGACGCUAAUUGGAACGCAUGCAGUUGUCGAGAAAAAGAAAUCCCCGCUCCCCAAUCACAUAGAAAUUGGUGAUUAUCUAUCUCCAUACUGCGACUACACUUCCAGGUACAGGAUUUCGUUAAGAAAGCAAAAAAUAUUUGCCUGGUGCUGCAACAAAUCCUCUCGGAGAGAGACAGAGGUAGAGACAGCGAGCGAGAGAGAGAGAGAGAGAGAGUGACAGAGAGACGCUUACCUGAGAAUGCCGGAACUCUCGGGGGUGUUCAGGAAGGAGAGAGAGAGAGAGAGUAGGGCUAAGUUUACAAAGGGAGGGUGAAG
This 732-nucleotide long non-coding RNA is filed under the name Spirodela polyrhiza (greater duckweed). RNAcentral describes it as "long non-coding RNA (SPOL_LNC002337)". The record is from RNAcentral. Lineage: Eukaryota; Viridiplantae; Streptophyta; Magnoliopsida; Alismatales; Araceae.